This 773-nucleotide ribosomal RNA is filed under the name uncultured Neocallimastigales. Its description in RNAcentral is "partial large subunit ribosomal RNA". It matches the Rfam family "Eukaryotic large subunit ribosomal RNA", at positions 23 to 647 of the family's 3401-position model. Lineage: Eukaryota; Fungi; Neocallimastigomycota; Neocallimastigomycetes; Neocallimastigales. The record is from RNAcentral.
AGAGAGAGACAUGCGCGCAUAUCAAUAAGCGGAGGAAAAGAAACUAACAAGGAUUCCCCUAGUAACGGCGAGUGAAGCGGGAAGAGCUCAAAUUUGAAAUCUUAAAGGGUUUCCCUUUACGAAUUGUAGUUUAAAGAAGUGUUUUCUGUUGAGGUUUUGGUAAAAGUUCUUUGGAAUAGGACAUCAUAGAGGGUGAGAAUCCCGUAUUUGACCUUUACUUUCAACUUUGUGAUACACUUUCAAAGAGUCGGAUUGUUUGGGAAUGCAGUCCAAAAUGGGUGGUAAAUUUCAUCUAAAGCUAAAUAUUGGCGAGAGACCGAUAGCGAACAAGUACCGUGAGGGAAGAUGAAAAGAACUUUGAAAAGAGAGUUAAACAGUACGUGAAAUUGUCAAAAGGGAAGCGUUUGACACCAGUGUUGUUUUUCUGAAAAUCAAUUAAAGAACUGUUUAUGCUAAGCUGUUUAGACUUUAUCAGCUAUCUGUUUAGUUUUGAGCUUUUCUUUAAUGCACUUUUCAGUUAACAAGUCAACAUCAAUUUCUUUUGCUGUAAAAAAGCUUGAGGAAGGUGGCUUGAGAUUCGUCUUAAGUGUUUAUAGCCUCUUGCCUAUGCAGUCGGAGAGAUUGAGGUCUGCAGCGUAGAUCCUUCGGGGCUAAAUGCAUUUGUGCUAAGUUAUAGCAUUUUAUAGACAACUUGUUGACUAUGAUUUGUCUUGUAGCUUACUCGCUUAUGUUAUUUUACCUACGCUUAGGAUGUUGACGCAUGAGAUAUACGC